This 497-nucleotide ribosomal RNA is filed under the name uncultured bacterium. Its description in RNAcentral is "partial 16S ribosomal RNA". It matches the Rfam family "Bacterial small subunit ribosomal RNA", at positions 28 to 507 of the family's 1533-position model. The record is from RNAcentral.
GAUGAACGCUGGCGGCGUGCCUAAUACAUGCAAGUCGAGCGAACAGAUGAGGAGCUUGCUCCUCUGACGUUAGCGGCGGACGGGUGAGUAACACGUGGAUAACCUACCUAUAUGACUGGGAUAACUUCGGGAAACCGGAGCUAAUACCGGAUAAUAUAUUGAACCGCAGGGUUCAAUAGUGAAAGACGGUUUUGCGGUCUCUUAUAGAUGGAUCCGCGCCGCAUGGUCUGGUUGGUAAGUUCACGGCUUACCAAGGCAACGAGGCGUAGCCGACCUGAGAGAGUGAUCGGCCACACGGGAACUGAACCGGGGUCCAGACUCCUACGGGAGGCAGCAGUAGGGAAUCUGCCGCAAUGGGCGAAAGCCUGACGGAGCAACGCCGCGUGAGUGAUGAAGGUCUUCGGAUCGUAAAACUCUGUUACUAGGGAAGAACAAAUGUGUACGUAACUAUGCCCGUCUUGACGGUAACUAAUAAGAAAGCAACGGCUAACUACGUG